AACGCGAAGAACCUUACCUGGGUUUGACAUCCCGUGAAGGCCGCAGAGAUGCGGAGUGGUAGCGAUACCCACGGAGACAGGUGCUGCAUGGCUGUCGUCAGCUCGUGUCGUGAGAUGUUGGGUUAAGUCCCGCAACGAGCGCAACCCUUGCCCUCAUUUGGCAUCAUUAAGUUGGCAACUAUGGGGGGACUGCCGGUGUCAAGCCGGAGGAAGGCGGGGAUGACGUCAAGUCCUCAUGGCCCUUAUGUCCAGGGCUACACACGUACUACAAUGGCCAAGACAAAGCGGAGCGAGGCCGAGAGGUGGAGCAAAGCGCAAAAACAUGGUCUCAGUUCGGAUUGCGGUCUGCAACUCGACCGCAUGAAGUUGGAAUCUCUAGUAAUCGCAGAUCAGCAGGCUGCGGUGAAUACGUUCCCGGGCCUUGUACACACCGACAUA
RNAcentral lists this ribosomal RNA (438 nucleotides) under uncultured bacterium. RNAcentral's name for it is "bacterial SSU rRNA". It matches the Rfam family "Bacterial small subunit ribosomal RNA", at positions 958 to 1397 of the family's 1533-position model. The record is from RNAcentral.